RNAcentral lists this long non-coding RNA (283 nucleotides) under Vigna radiata. RNAcentral's name for it is "long non-coding RNA (VRAD_LNC001058)". Lineage: Eukaryota; Viridiplantae; Streptophyta; Magnoliopsida; Fabales; Fabaceae. The record is from RNAcentral.
GAGAAAAGAGAAGAACAAAGGAAGGGUGUUUUACCUGUUCCUUGAAAAAUUUCAGUGAAGUGAGGGUGAGAGCACUGUCAAAUGAGAGCAAGAACCGUGAGAGUGAUUUGUGAGAGCAGAGGUUACUUUUUUGGUAUACAUAGUGAGUGAAGAGAGUAUUUUAUUUUUUAAGGUUUCAUAAAUAAAAUAAUAAAUUAAAAAAUAAAAUUAGGUAGGUGGGUUGGGGGGCCAACCCGGCUGACCACGGGUUCAACCUGCAUGAGCAGGGUUGAAAUCUGACCCG